AUGAAGAUCACCGUGCAAUCAUCGAAGUCCGUGAAGCCCGACUACGGCAAAGAUGGUAGCGCCGGCGGCAACGUGAUCCCACUGAGUGUGUUCGACAGGGUGAACUACGACGAGUACAUCUUCUACGUGUACGCCUUCCACCCGCCCGCGCCACCCAGCGUCGCCCUCGAGGCGGCGCUCGCCAGGGCGCUGGCUGCGUACCCCGAAUGGGCAGGCCGCCUCGGCGCCGGCCCCGCGAUCGUGCUCUGUGACGCCGGCGCACGGUUUAUCGACGCUAACGCCGACUCCGAGCUGGGCAGCGGCGCCGUCGCGCUUCUGGCCUCUGGAAGCAAGGUGCUGAGCCUAUACCCUAGUUGUGACGGCGCCGAGGAGCUGCUGCUGGUUCAGGCCACGCGGUUUCGCUGCGGCUCCCUGGUCCUCGGCUUCACCAUGCACCACAAGGUGGCCGAUGGGCCUGCCAUGUGGAAUUUCAUGGUCGCGUGGGGUCAGACCACUCGCGGCGUCGCCAUCGACCCUGUCCCGGUCCAUGACCGUAUGUCGCUCUUCGCGCGACGGGCCCUGCCGCAGAUCAGAUUCGAGCACCGUGGCGUGGAGCUCAAGCCUCGUGACGAGAAGCCGGGAACCCGUGGCGACGGCAUUGUCCACGCCGGCGACGAGGUGGUCGUACACAAGGUGCACUUUAGCCGGGAGUGGAUCAUGGAGCUAAAGUCGCUGGUAUCGGAGGGCGGCCCCCGGUCGUACACCACGCUGCAGUGCCUGGCGGGGCACUUCUGGCGGUGCAUCACCAUGGCGCGCGGGCUUGACGGGCGGCAGGCCACCAGGAUCCGAAUCGCCGUGAACGGGCGAACGCGGAUGCGCCGCCCACGGGUGCCGGAGGGAUACACUGGCAGUGUGGUGCUCUGGGCGUGGCCGACGACAACGGUGCGGCAGCUGCUAGACCGGCCUUUGCGGUACGCCGUGGAGCUCAUAUCACGGGAGGUGGCCCGGAUGGACGACGCUUAUUUCAGGUCGUUCAUCGACUUCGCGAGCUCCGGGGCGGUGGAGGAGGAGAAGCUGGUGCCGACGGCGGACGCGGCGGAGGUCCGGCUGGGCACCAAUGUUGACCUGGACAGCCUGCUAGCGAUCCCGUUCCCCGGGCUGGACUUUGGCUGUGGAGCACCCUUCUUCUUCAGGCCCUGCUACAGUCCUGCGCCGGUGGACGGCGCCAUCUACGUCGUCAAGUCCUUGGUGGGCGACGGGAGCGUGGACGCAUACGUGCCAUUGUUCAGCCGCACCAUGGACAACUUCAAGAAGUGCUGCUACUCCCUG
This 1308-nucleotide ribosomal RNA is filed under the name Triticum aestivum (bread wheat). RNAcentral describes it as "partial small subunit ribosomal RNA". The record is from RNAcentral. Lineage: Eukaryota; Viridiplantae; Streptophyta; Magnoliopsida; Poales; Poaceae.